This 439-nucleotide ribosomal RNA is filed under the name uncultured bacterium. RNAcentral describes it as "partial 16S ribosomal RNA". It matches the Rfam family "Bacterial small subunit ribosomal RNA", at positions 339 to 795 of the family's 1533-position model. The record is from RNAcentral.
CUACGGGUGGCUGCAGUGAGGAAUAUUGCACAAUGGGGGAAACCCUGAUGCAGCAACGCCGCGUGGAGGAUGACGCAUUUCGGUGUGUAAACUCCUUUUAUCAGAGAAGAAAAUGACGGUAUCUGAUGAAUAAGCUCCGGCUAACUCCGUGCCAGCAGCCGCGGUAAUACGGAGGGAGCAAGCGUUAUUCGGAAUCACUGGGCGUAAAGGACGCGUAGGCGGGUCUUUAGGUCAGGUGUGAAAUCCUAUGGCUCAACCAUAGAACUGCACUUGAAACUGGGGACCUAGAGUAUGGAAGGGGCAGGUGGAAUUAGUGGUGUAGGGGUAAAAUCCGUAGAUAUCACUAGGAAUACCGAAAGCGAAGGCGACCUGCUGGGACAUUACUGACGCUGAGGCGUGAAAGCGUGGGGAGCAAACAGGAUUAGAUACCCCCGUAGUC